GCUUCUUGGGUCAGCAGAGGGAAAAAAGCACACAUAGGAAUGGGGUCACAAAUGGGCCCCUGCGCAUUAAUUAGGUUUCCACAUAAAGUCGUAGGGCCUCCUCCAGCACUUUUGCGCCGGCAAAGAUGGAGGCAUUUGGCUUACUCAUCUUGGGGUUGACAUUCUCUAUUGAGUGUUUCCUCCGGCAAUUCAUUCUUGGCUUUGGAUACUUGGUAACUUGGUGUAUUUUCAUAGGUGAGAGAGGAAGAUAUGAUGAGGAUCUUCAUGGAAUCCCAUUUCACUUCCACUCACCGCUUGUGUAAAAUAGCAAAACUUCUGUACGUACGUUUUGGGAAAUAGUAGCACAUGUAAUAACUACAAGUGUGUAGACUUUUUUCGUUUGUGGCAGAAAGGGUUAACCUCCUGCUGCCUGCUGAUGUACCCUAGCAUUUUAACAACGUUAAAGAGAUGGUGGUGGUGGGUUUUCCUUGUUUUUUUCACUUCUCUUCAAAUAAUGUUUUAAGAAUGGUUUCAUUCCCAUUUUUGCUUACAUUUUUCACCAUAUAAGGUUAUUCCUACAUCCUAUUUUCUUUGCAUUGCUGCUGUUAUUCAAGUGUUGGAAAUUUCAUUAUGUUUAUGAAAGAUGAUUAUGAGAGAAGGGUGCUC
This 645-nucleotide unclassified non-coding RNA is filed under the name Hevea brasiliensis (rubber tree). The record is from RNAcentral. Lineage: Eukaryota; Viridiplantae; Streptophyta; Magnoliopsida; Malpighiales; Euphorbiaceae.